UACGUAGGUGACCAGCGUUGUCCGGAUUUACUGGGCGUAAAGAGCGCGCAGGCGGUCGUUCAAGUCGAGUGUGAAAGCCCCCGGCUCAACUGGGGAGGGUCACUCGAUACUGAUCGACUUGAAGGCAGGAGAGGGAAGCGGAAUUCCCGGUGUAGUGGUGAAAUGCGUAGAUAUCGGGAGGAACACCUAUAGCGAAGGCAGCUUACUACGCUGUAACUGACGCUGAGGCACGAAAGUGUGGGGAUCAAACAGG
Molecule: ribosomal RNA, 253 nt
Filed under: uncultured bacterium
Lineage: Bacteria
Description: partial 16S ribosomal RNA
Rfam family: Bacterial small subunit ribosomal RNA
Source: RNAcentral